GUGGGGAAUAUUGGACAAUGGGCGAAAGCCUGAUCCAGCCAUGCCGCGUGUGUGAAGAAGGUCUUCGGAUUGUAAAGCACUUUAAGUUGGGAGGAAGGGCAGUAAGUUAAUACCUUGCUGUUUUGACGUUACCGACAGAAUAAGCACCGGCUAACUUCGUGCCAGCAGCCGCGGUAAUACGAAGGGUGCAAGCGUUAAUCGGAAUUACUGGGCGUAAAGCGCGCGUAGGUGGUUUUGUAAGUUGGAGGUGAAAUCCCCGGGCUCAACCUGGGAACUGCCUGCAAAACUGCAUGACUAGAGUACGGUAGAGGGUAGUGGAAUUUCCUGUGUAGCGGUGAAAUGCGUAGAUAUAGGAAGGAACACCAGUGGCGAAGGCGACUACCUGGACUGAUACUGACACUGAGGUGCGAAAGCGUGGGGAGCAAACAGGAUUAGAUACCCUAGUAGUCC
RNAcentral lists this ribosomal RNA (450 nucleotides) under uncultured bacterium. Its description in RNAcentral is "partial 16S ribosomal RNA". It matches the Rfam family "Bacterial small subunit ribosomal RNA", at positions 354 to 796 of the family's 1533-position model. The record is from RNAcentral.